CGGUGUUCAACUGGCGUGCCCGCGGGACGUCCUGCCGGUGAGCUCAGCCCGCGAGGGCGGCUCAACUUGAAAUCCCAUCGCGGUGCUCUUCAUUGAGUGUCGAGGUGGGCCGGCACGAUUACUUUUGAACAAAUUAGAGUGCUUAGAGCAGGCUAAAAUUUUGCCUGAAUACUGUGUAUAUGGAAUAAUGGAAUAGGACCUCGGUUCUAUUUUGUUGGUUUUCGGAACCCCGAGGUAAUGAUUAAUAGGAACGGAUGGGGGCAUUCGUAUUGCGACGUUAGAGGUGAAAUUCUUGGAUCGUCGCAAGACGGACUAAAGCGAAAGCAUUUGCCAAAAACGCUUUCAUUGAUCAAGAACGAAAGUUAGAGGUUCGAAGGCGAUCAGAUACCGCCCUAGUUCUAACCAUAAACUAUGCCAGCUAGCGAUCCGCCGACGUCCCUCUGAUGACUCGGCGGGCAGCUUCCGGGAAACCAAAGCUUUUGGGUUCCGGGGGAAGUAUGGUUGCAAAGCUGAAACUUAAAGGAAUUGACGGAAGGGCACCACCAGGAGUGGAGCCUGCGGCUUAAUUUGACUCAACACGGGAAACCUCACCAGGCCCAGACACUGGAAGGAUUGACAGAUUGAGAGCUCUUUCUUGAUUCAGUGGGUGGUGGUGCAUGGCCGUUCUUAGUCGGUGGAGCGAUUUGUCAGGUUAAUUCCGAUAACGGACGAGACUCUGACCUGAUAACUAGACGCACUUGCGGCAUCUCAAAGGUCCGCCGGCGGCUGGCUUUGCGCCCGUCGUCGCGCGCGAUUUUUACUGCCGGCGUACAAUAAAUUCUUCUUAGAGGGACAAGUGG
RNAcentral lists this ribosomal RNA (839 nucleotides) under uncultured eukaryote. RNAcentral's name for it is "SSU rRNA". It matches the Rfam family "Eukaryotic small subunit ribosomal RNA", at positions 635 to 1426 of the family's 1831-position model. The record is from RNAcentral.